Molecule: long non-coding RNA, 1541 nt
Organism: Hylaeus anthracinus
Lineage: Eukaryota; Metazoa; Arthropoda; Insecta; Hymenoptera; Colletidae
Exons: 2
Source: RefSeq, a predicted model, not a curated record
CGCACUCAUUCUCAUUUUCGCUCAUGCACUCCCUUGUCUUCGUUUCUUUCUCUUUAGUUUGGCAAAUCCCGCGACGACACGCUGAACGGCGAUUUAUUUUUUAUAUUCGCGAGGGAUCGUUGAUCGAAGACUCGAGAAGCUAGCCUUCGUGGAUCACACUUCCCCAGAGAUGGGCAACGUUAGGUGAAAAGUUUCAAAUAACGAACAGAAGGUGGUAAAGCUUCGAUUCGUUAUUUGUUUAAUAGAAACGUAAAACAAGAAAUUACUAUUCAAUACGAAUUAUUGUUGAAGAGAUUAUUCAUUUAUUUAGAUAAUCGAAUAGAAGAGAUUUGAAUCUAAAAUUCUAAAUGGUAGAAAGUAUGCUAACUAUUGAGAUAAAUAGCGCAAUGAUAUUCUUUUUCUUGAACGAAGGUUGAACUUUGCACAGUAAUAGUUUAAUCGAAGAAAAGUGAAUUUUAUUGUUUGAAUAAAGUGUGAAUUUGAAUAGAAUCCUGCCCAUCUCUGCUCGUCCCUCUCUCUCGCCGACAGUUGGCGUCGCUUGGGACUCCGCGGAAACGCGACACCAGCUGGAGAACGUAAAUUAAAACCAGAAAACACCUUUCUACACCUUUUCGUAUCGAAUGGAGGUCGUUGGAAGGCAAAACCACCAAAGUUAAUCGUGAUUUUUAAAAGCAAUUUCCUUUCAACUCAAAUUCAUGAACGAAUAAAUAAAUUGCUUUGGAUUCAAAACUUUUUAGUGGCUCUAGGAUAUCUGAGUUUCCUCGAGAAUCGAUAGGCAUAUCGACAGAAUCAUUCUACAUAUCAGAGAUUCGCUAUCGACGUUAAUUUUAGAUGAUGACGCCGACAGCUGUCUUAAUUUAGAAGGGGAAACACGUCAAGAGCUGCGUGAUUUUCGAUAAAAAAUCUCAGAGCGUAAACCCGAAAAUCGUGAUAAGCAUUGGCACGUUUGUUUAUCGUACAAGAUACUUCAGAUUGCUAAUCGAACCCUUAGGGUUUGACAUAGAUCGAGAUGUUUAUUCACAUUCCUCGAUGAAGUUGAAUUAGAAUUCUGAAGCAUGCCCAGUGUCAAGAAAUUUUUAUUUAAAAAACGACGUGGAUAACUAUGUUUGAUGAAGAUGGGAGAGAAGGAACAAGAGUUUUAAUUGAAGUUUUAAUGAAAAGCUCGUUCAGCCUCGAGAUCAACCAUCUGGGGAUCAAACUCGACGAGUUACUCGAGGGUGGAGUGCAAACUGCGUUGAAUUCUGUCAACACAGACACCUGUUUUAAUUUAAAAGAAACUCUCGAGGAAACCAGAAUUUUCGCAUAAAAUCGUUCGAUGGAGGCUAAGCUAGAUAACAAUGCUAGAUUUCAAGUGAUCCUAGGUGGAGGAUACUCAGACUCGAUUUAAUUUCAGGGAAGAGGAUAAAAGGAGGUAAAGAUGGAAGCUAAGAUCGUCGACUUUGGAAUGGAAUUCGGUAAUUAAAAAUUUGUAAGCGUAUCGAUCAACAAUCCCGAUUUGAAAUGAUCCACAUGGAGGCUUGAUUUAAUUACAGAGAAGAAAA